AAAUGAAUUGACGGGGGCCCGCACAAGCAGAGGAGCAUGUGGCUUAAUUCGAUGCAACGCGAAGAACCUUACCCGGGUUUGACAUGCAGCUGCACGGCCGAUGAAAGUCGGCCUCCUUCGAGGGUGCUGCACAGGUGCUGCAUGGCUGUCGUCAGUUCGUGCCGUGAGGUGUUUGGUUAAGUCCAGCAACGAACGCAACCCCUGUGUCCAGUUGCCAUCAGGUAACGCUGGGAACUCUGGACAGACUGCCCGUUCACACGGGAGGAAGGUGGGGACGACGUCAAGUCAGUAUGGCCCUUACACCCGGGGCCGCACACGUGCUACAAUGGCCGGCACAGAGGGAAGCGAAGCCGCGAGGCCGAGCCAACCCCCAAAACCGGCCCCAGUUCGGAUCGGGGUCUGCAACCCGACCCCGUGAAGUCGGAUUUGCUAGUAACGGCGCAUCAGCUACGGCGCCGUGAAUACGUUCCCGGGCCUUGUACACACCGCCCGU
RNAcentral lists this ribosomal RNA (493 nucleotides) under uncultured bacterium. Its description in RNAcentral is "bacterial SSU rRNA". It matches the Rfam family "Bacterial small subunit ribosomal RNA", at positions 903 to 1397 of the family's 1533-position model. The record is from RNAcentral.